GGAGUUUGGACCGUCUCUCAGUUCCAAUGUGGCCGAUCACCCUCUCAGGUCGGCUACCCAUCGUCGGUUUUGGUGGGCCUUUACCCCGCCAACUAUCUAAUCGGACGCGAGCCCACCCUUCACCGGAUUGCUCCUUUGACCCCUGGAAGAUGUCUCCCUGUGGUCUUAUGCGGUAUUAGUACAACUUUCGCUGUGUUAUCCCCCUGUGAAGGACAGGUUGCUCACGCGUUACUCACCCGUCCGCCGCUAGAACAUACAUCUUCGUCUCCAUCCGAAAACUUUGACUCCGUCGCAUGUCCCCGCUCGACUUGCAUGUGUUAGGCACGCCGCCAGCGUUCGUCCUCGAGCCCAGGAUCAAACUACU
This 364-nucleotide ribosomal RNA is filed under the name uncultured Coriobacteriales bacterium. Its description in RNAcentral is "partial 16S ribosomal RNA". Lineage: Bacteria; Bacillati; Actinomycetota; Coriobacteriia; Coriobacteriales. The record is from RNAcentral.